This 865-nucleotide ribosomal RNA is filed under the name uncultured organism. RNAcentral's name for it is "bacterial SSU rRNA". It matches the Rfam family "Bacterial small subunit ribosomal RNA", at positions 48 to 939 of the family's 1533-position model. The record is from RNAcentral.
CUUACACAUGCAAGUCGAGGGAGAAGCCGAACUUCGGUUCGGUGGAGACCGGCGCACGGGUGAGUAGCACGUGGAUCAUCUACCUUCGGGUCUGGGAUAACAUUCCGAAAGGGGUGCUAAUACCGGAUACGUCAGCGUUGCUGGGAAAGCUCCGGCGCCCGAAGAUGAGUCCGCGUCCCAUUAGGUAGUUGGUGAGGUAAGGGCUCACCAAGCCGAAGAUGGGUAGCUGGUCUGAGAGGAUGACCAGCCACACUGGGACUGAGACACGGCCCAGACUCCUACGGGAGGCAGCAGUGGGGAAUCUUGCGCAAUGGACGAAAGUCUGACGCAGCAACGCCGCGUGGGUGAUGAAGGCCUUCGGGUCGCAAAGCCCUGUCAGAAGGGAAGAUAAUGACGGUACCUUCAGAGGAAGCACCGGCUAACUCCGUGCCAGCAGCCGCGGUAAUACGGAGGGUGCAAACGUUGUUCGGAAUCAUUGGGCGUAAAGCGCGCGUAGGCGGCGCCGUAGGUCGGGUGUGAAAUCCCGGGGCUCAACCCCGGAACUGCGCUCGAAACCCCGGUGCUCGAGUCUCGGAGGGAGAAGUGGAAUUCCUGGUGUAGGGGUGAAAUCCGUAGAUAUCAGGAGGAACACCGGCGGCGAAGGCGACUUCUUGGCCGAAGACUGACGCUGAGGUGCGAAAGUGUGGGGAGCGAACCAGGAUUAGAUACCCUGGUAGUCCACACCGUAAACGAUGCCCACUAGCUGGCGGGUGCAUGAACCCACGCGCUGGCGCAGUUAACGCGUUAAGUGAGCCGCCUGGGGAGUACGGUCGCAAGAUUAAAACUCAAAGUGAAUUGACGGUGUGCCCGCACAAGCGGUGGAGCA